AGUGAAUAUUUUACACUCUACCUCUGGUAACUGUAGAGUGUAUAGACAGAGCUGAGAACUGCUGCCUACACCAAGAACUCUCAAACCUGAGUAUGCAUGAGAAACACCUGCAGGCUUGUUAAGGCCUAAUCACUGGGUCCCAUCCGCAAGGUUCUGAUCACUAGGUGGGGUAAGGAUCAAGAAUUUACAUUUCUAAUAAGUUCCAGGAGAUGUUAAUGCUAUGGCUACCCUUGGAUUAGAUUACACAGAAUGGUGGUGCUCACCAGGCCAAGAAGGGAGGGAGGAACAGGUGCUGUGCACAGUUAGCAAAGGCCUGGUGUGAAGAAUGCUGGGAAAACUUCAAGGAGCUCCUUGCACCCACAGUGCUAGUGACUGUGGAGAUUGUGAGAAACAGGCUGGGAAGGCAGAUUGAGGAGCAGCCUCUGGUGGGAUCCCUUUGACUCUUCCCCACCCCACUACCACCAACCUCUGGAGCAGAAAGGUCCUGGGUCUCACACCUGCACUGACCCACAUCCCUCUCUUGCCCAUGCGAUAUGGCCACACACCCCACCCUAUGCCUCCAGAGCUGUUCAUGAGCAGGGAGCUUCAGGACCCCUGGGAAGGUGGGAUGGGUGCCCCGGCUGUGGGAGAAGGUCUUCACCAUGCCUGCCCUGCCCAUCAGCCGCAUCCAGGUGAGACUGGGAGAGCACAAUAUCGAAGUUCUGGAGGGGAAUGAGCAGUUCAUCAAUGCGGCCAAGAUCAUCCGCCAUCCCCAAUAUGACAAGAAGACUCUGAACAAUGACAUCAUGUUAAUCAAGCUCUCCUCACGUGCAGUCAUCAACGCCCGCGUGUCCACCAUCUCUCUGCCCACCGCCCCUCCAGCCACUGGCACAAAGUGCCUCAUCUCUGGCUGGGGCAACACUGCAAGCUCUGGUGCUGACUACCCAGAUGAGCUACAAUGCCUGGAUGCUCCUGUGCUGAGCCAGGCUAAGUGUGAAGCCUCCUACCCUGGAAAGAUUACCAGCAACAUGUUCUGUGUGGGCUUCCUCGAGGGAGGCAAGGAUUCCUGCCAGGGUGACUCUGGUGGCCCUGUGGUCUGCAAUGGACAGCUUCAAGGAGUUGUCUCCUGGGGCGAUGGCUGUGCCCAGAAGAACAAGCCUGGAGUCUACACCAAGGUCUACAACUAUGUGAACUGGAUUAAGAACACCAUAGCUGCCAACAGCUAAAGCCCCCAGUACCUCUUCAGUAUCUAUACAAAUAAAGUGACCCUGUUCUCAC
RNAcentral lists this small RNA (1257 nucleotides) under Pongo abelii (Sumatran orangutan). RNAcentral's name for it is "retained intron". The record is from RNAcentral. Lineage: Eukaryota; Metazoa; Chordata; Mammalia; Primates; Hominidae.